This 279-nucleotide ribosomal RNA is filed under the name uncultured bacterium. RNAcentral describes it as "partial 16S ribosomal RNA". It matches the Rfam family "Bacterial small subunit ribosomal RNA", at positions 506 to 784 of the family's 1533-position model. The record is from RNAcentral.
UGCCAGCCGCCGCGGUAAUACGGAGGGAGCUAGCGUUGUUCGGAAUCACUGGGCGUAAAGCGCACGUAGGCGGCUUUGUAAGUUAGAGGUGAAAGCCCGGGGCUCAACUCCGGAACUGCCUUUAAGACUGCAUCGCUUGAAUCUGGGAGAGGUAAGUGGAAUUCCGAGUGUAGAGGUGAAAUUCGUAGAUAUUCGGAAGAACACCAGUGGCGAAGGCGGCUUACUGGACCAGAAUUGACGCUCAGACUCGAAGGCCCGCGGAGCGCACCGGCUUAGAUA